Molecule: RNA transcript, 3154 nt
Organism: Acipenser ruthenus (sterlet)
Lineage: Eukaryota; Metazoa; Chordata; Actinopteri; Acipenseriformes; Acipenseridae
Gene name: claudin-16-like
Exons: 5
Source: RefSeq, a predicted model, not a curated record
ACGGUCCUUUCUAUGACGUUUGUAAUUAUUUUGAACGGUUCUUAUUGAAAACGUAACUAUUAUUAUUAUUAUUAUUAUUAUUAUUAUUAUUAUUAUUAUUAUUAUUAUUAUUAUUAUUAUUAGGGGCUGGUCUUUAGUUCCAAUUACCUGCCAUAGAGAUUAGUAAUGUUAGGCCAGAUCAGCCGAAGUGUCUUUUUAUGAGUGUGCGAUAGCGCCACCUGGUGGAGUCUGAGAUGAGAACCACUUCCAAAGAUUACAAACACCACGACAAGGCAGGGGAAAGUCAACAGACACGUGGGCACGGGACACGAACUUGAGUUGUUCUUUAUGGUGGCUGUGCCAUCAUGGGUUUAAUAAUAAUUGAAAUCAAAAUCGAAAAACGCCAUACUCGUUAUUAUUACGUAAAGUGUAUUAUAACAGCAUUUGCUAUAACGCCGGGAAACGUGAGCUUGGUUUGAAUUGGACCGGCCGUCACGGCAGAUGUUUUAACACAAUGGGGUUUGAUUUUGAACCGAUCUCGCGGUGUCAUUACAAUACAUUUGAAUAACUGCCACCACGCUUCUGGCACGUGGGACUGACAACCCCCAACACAAGCGAUUAGAAAGUUCCAGAUUGAAUAUUAUAGUCAAGCCCUUUUAGUAGGGCAGAGGUCAUCCACGGGUCACCGAAUCAACUCAGUUAGCUGUGACAACGGAAGCGAACGCAAGGACGAUUCCCAUGCCAUGCGAUGCGAAUCUUUAUUGCAUUGAGAAAUAUGGUGCCGUAUGUGGUUAUUUAAGUUAUUUAAAUUAGGGUUUUAUUUUAUUAUUGUUUUGACUGCUGUUUGUAACAAAUUAAAUACUGCAGUGCUUUAGAUUAUUAAGAAAAGCCACCAUCUUUUCCUCGGUGUGGAAUUCAAACAGCAGUUAAGUUGUUGGUCCUUGGGGACAGGCGUCCACGUUCCCACGAUCAUGCGUCCAAUAUGGGUCGUGUCUGUUUGAAUAGACUGAAUGGGCUGAUUGUUAAGGAGCUGUGGCUGGGGACCAUGCACGCGUCGGGCACGAGACGGCGCUAACCACGGGGGACCCCCACGCCCCUGAACAGCUCGCUCGAGCAGAAGACGAAGAAGCGGAUACCGAUCUGUCUCGCCGCGACCUUUAAUAGACCCGCUCUGUUCUUAAUGGGAUUCUGCAUGGAAUUGAUAUACUUAACAGAAUGCGGGACUGGUUAAACACGCAUAAAGGGAACGCCGUGGUGAAAGAAAGGGCGUGCAAAAGGGAAACGUCUCCGGAUAGAUACAGUAUUAAUUAAAGCGAGACCGCGGCGUGGCUUAUCUGAUGGCUUGAGAGUGUGACAGGAGGGAAUGUCCUUUUGUGUGGAGUUAGUUGUAUCAUUUUACAGUAAAAAUAAUAAUUAAAAAAGUGAUAAAAGGCCAAAACUUACUCUAAACCGGCCUGUUUUCUACACAGAUCCCUAUUCGACUCUCGAAAAUCCCACUUUAUGAUUUAUUUGAGUUGUUUGAGAAUAUUCAUUGGAAGCACACAUACAUGUUACCAAAUUAAACAGGGCAGUGUGAAGGACGCACUAAGAUGUGUUUGAAGUCUGUUGCACAAUGCUUAGUCAGUCCUACACACGUGGUAAUAAACAGGACCGCUCCUUGCUGAGUGUGCUUAUUGACUCCCUGCACCCCGUGUUCUCCUAACCUUGAAUAUCCAAUCUCGGCGCUCUUCCGUUUGCAGUAUUGUUUGAAACUGCAAUGGUAAGUGAUAUGCAAUUAGCAAGACCCGCUUUAUAAAUAGGUGUAUUAUUUUUCUUUUUGCUUGAGGAUAUAUAUGGUUUAUUUGCAAUCGUAGGCUACAGUAGACAUGUUUUCUGAGAUAUUUUUUACUUGAUCUGCCCAAACUUUUUUCUCAGUUUGUUGUUCAUGGUUAGACAUGAAAUAAAAAAACAAAAGCCUAUGAAAUGUGUCCUUGCUUGCCACCAUGUGGUGGGACAUACUUACUACAUAUAACAGAAACUAGACCAUACCAACGAAACAUUUACACCCAGUGUUAAAUGUAUAGGUUUCUUUAGGUUUGAAAGAAAGAAAGGAAACUGACAACCCGACAGAACUAGCAAGAUACAACUAAGCUGCAUGCUUGCAUAUUAUUUGAAGCUUUGGAAUAUCGAACACUUUAUAUGGAACCACCUGUGGUAAGAACGGUUCUUCAUAGAACUCGAACAAAAUAAGGGCGUGUCUUUUUAGAACGCUCCGAGCCCGCAGAUAAACAGCAAAGGGUCGGUGAUGCUGAGUAUCCGCUGCCGGGGUCUCUGGAGAGAAUGUGUGUGGGACAAGUUUGUUAAAAUAUGGACAUGCGACAUUUUCAGUUCUUAUCUGAACCCUCACCCAGCAACCAUAGUGGUCACGAGAUCUCUGAUGAUCACCUCCAGCAUUGCGAGUGUGGCUGCAUUCUUGUGCCUGCUUCUAGGAUUCAGACACUUCCACUACUGUAAAGAUGCGAUGAGGAGGAGGCAGCUGCAGAGACUGGCUGCUGCAUUGUAUUUCCUAGUAGGAGUGUUUUCUACUGGUGCCAUUAUUAGAUACUGUGUGUAUGUUUACUAUAUUCACCAAUAUGAGGUCUCCCUAAAAAUCCCAGGCUUCCCCGGUUUUGAAUAUGGUUACUCAUUGUGGACGGCGGUCGGUGCAACAUUAGGUGCUCUCUCGUCUGCCGUUAUCUCAACCUAUGAAAGCUGCUGCAAGAAGAUAAAGAAUGAAGACGGGACAAAGGAGGGUCCGUCUCAAGCUAAACAGACCAUCAGCACAUAUGUUUAACACCCCCAGCCCCACUUUAACCAAUUGGAUGUGUUUCUUUAAGCCUGGAUAAGAACCCUUGAGAUCAUGUUUGUUGCUGUAUAAAUAGGUGUUGGGCUUGUUUUCCCAUAUAUAUUCAGUAUACUGUGGUGUUUGUCAAUCAAAUAAAAUGAUGAUGUAAUAUCUGUGUUACUCUAAAAGGGGAAUGUGAAACUGUAGCUGCAGGUAGCAACAGAGCAAAGCAAUCUGUCUGUCUGUCUCAUAAAGACUGCAUAGCGACCUCUCUCUUAUAUAGAUUGCAAAGCGAUCUGUCUGUCUGUCUCAUAAAGACUGCAAAGCGAUCUGUCUGUUUGCCUCUCUUAUAAAGACUGCAAAGCGAUCGGU